UUAAGUUCAGCGGGUAACCCUACCUGAUCCGAGGUCAAACCAUAGAAAGAUGGGUUGACGGCUGGCCUCCACCGGGUCCCGAUGCGAGUUGUAAGACUACUACGCAGGGGGCGCCGCGGCGGGACCGCCACUUCAUUUCGGGGCCUACGGCAGGGCACGAGGCCCUGAACCGUAGCGCCCCAACACCGGGCAGCGGAUAG
Molecule: unclassified non-coding RNA, 200 nt
Filed under: Gamsia sp.
Lineage: Eukaryota; Fungi; Ascomycota; Sordariomycetes; Microascales; Microascaceae
Description: partial internal transcribed spacer 2
Source: RNAcentral